AUACGAAGGGUGCAAGCGUUAUUCGGAGUUACUGGGCGUAAAGAGUAUGUAGGCGGUUUGUUAAGUUAGUUGUUAAAGACCACGGCUCAACCGUGGAAAGGCAGCUGAUACUGAUGAGCUAGAGCGCAGAAGAGAGGAGUGGAAUUCCCGGAGUAGCGGUAAAAUGCGUAGAUCUCGGGAGGAACACCGGUUGCGAAGGCAGCCCCCUGGGUCAACACUGACGCUCAUGCACGAAAGCGUGGGUAGC
This 247-nucleotide ribosomal RNA is filed under the name uncultured bacterium. RNAcentral's name for it is "partial 16S ribosomal RNA". It matches the Rfam family "Bacterial small subunit ribosomal RNA", at positions 523 to 769 of the family's 1533-position model. The record is from RNAcentral.